Molecule: ribosomal RNA, 255 nt
Filed under: uncultured bacterium
Lineage: Bacteria
Description: partial 16S ribosomal RNA
Rfam family: Bacterial small subunit ribosomal RNA
Source: RNAcentral
UACGGGGGGGGGCAAGCGUUGUUCGGAAUUACUGGGCGUAAAGGGCUCGUAGGCGGCCAACUAAGUCAUACGUGAAAUCCCUCGGCUUAACCGGGGAACUGCGUCUGAUACUGGAUGGCUAGAGUUUGGGAGAGGGAUGCGGAAUUCCAGGUGUAGCGGUGAAAUGCGUAGAUAUCUGGAGGAACACCGGUGGCGAAGGCGGCAUCCUGGACCAACACUGACGCUGAGGAGCGAAAGCCAGGGGAGCAAAGCGGG